CAUCUUCAGUAGAACUGUGUGACAACAGUUCUUGUGUACCGGCUGCAGGUAGUUCUUUCGAUUCAGAUUCAGUAGACUCAGGACCACGUUCCGACGCAACUGGUGGCUGGUGGUUGCCGGGGAUUUCAUCUUGGCGCAACUGUUCAGGUACCUCUCGGGCUUGUUUUUCAGGGGGAUUGUUUGGUGAAGGAGGCUCCGCAGAGGGGUCAGGUGGCGCUGCAGAGUCUGCUUGGAGUAAUCGAUCAAUGAAAUUCUGUUUAACCCUGAGACCCGUUUGGGGAAUGCCGCGACGCUUCAGUUCGGCCUUUAAAUCAGUAACCUUCCAGUUUUUGUAGUCCGCCAUGGCGAAGAGUUGUGAAAAAGGAGCGAUGUCGAAAUUGGAGA
This 384-nucleotide small RNA is filed under the name Histoplasma ohiense. RNAcentral's name for it is "hypothetical lncRNA". Lineage: Eukaryota; Fungi; Ascomycota; Eurotiomycetes; Onygenales; Ajellomycetaceae. The record is from RNAcentral.